ACGCCUGCAUCGGCAGGCGAUCAAAUGAGUUAGAAGUUCCAUGUGGUUGCAGUUACAUAUGUCUGUGAUGAAACUGAAGAGGUUUUUGGUUCGAUAUUUCCCACCAGGUUUAAUUAUUGAAUAUGAAAAGAAUGGAGGAAAGUUUUCGAGAGUCCUUGAUUUGUUAGACUUCACAGCUGACAGUGACAUAGAGCUGGUGCUUGAAGACCUGGCUGCACGGGAAUCACUCAUUACCCAGGCACGAGCAAACAGCAUUCGACCACCGUUGCUUAGACUCCGGGAAAAGUUGAAAUGGGAUUCUUCACAUGAAUUUACACUUUCAAAAGUGCUGAGAGCUCAUGCGUUGCCACUGACAAAUGUGGCAUUCAACAAGCAUGGCUCUCGAUUUAUCACAGGAAGUUAUGAUCGUACAUGCAAAGUGUGGGAGACUUCCACAGGAAAUGAACUCAAAACACUUACAGGUCAUAAAAAUGUUGUGUACGCAAUUGAUUUCAACAAUCCAUUUGGAGACAAGGUUGCAACUGGCUCUUUUGACAAAACCUGUAAAGUUUGGAAUCCAGAAACAGGAGAAUGCUAUUAUACAUUAAAAGGACAUACAGCAGAAAUAGUCUGCGUUGCGUUCAACCCACAAAGCACUGUUUUAGCGACUGGAUCAAUGGACACGGAGGCAAGGCUAUGGGAUGUUGAAACUGGGCAGGCACUGACAUCUUUGUGUGGCCAUUCCGGAGAGGUCAUAGCCCUCUCUUUCAACUGCAGUGGAAAUGAAAUUGUAACAGGUUCAUUUGAUAGCACCGUUUGCCUGUGGGACGUUCGUAUGGGAAAGAAGGUACAUACCUUAAUUGGUCAUCGUGCAGAAAUCAGCAAUGUACAGUUUAAUUAUGAUGCUUCUGUGAUCGCCAGCGCAUCCAUGGACAGAACGUGCAAGCUGUGGGACACAGCUUCUGGCAUGUGCGUGGGAACUCUUCGGGAUCACACUGAUGAGGUGUUGGACGUGGCAUUUGACGCGACGGGACAAUAUCUUCUCACAGCGUCAGCUGAUUGUACAGGCCUUAUGUAUCGCGUGGCAACACAAUACUGCCUGGCCAAGUUCCAAGGUCAUGAGGGAGAAAUUUCAAAGAUCUCAUUUAACCCACAAGGUACCAAGGUCUUGACGGCAAGUGCAGACAAAACGGCACGGUUAUGGAGCCCAGACACUGGAGAGUGUACACAGAUACUAGAAGGUCAUGUGGAUGAAAUCUUCAGCUGUGUGUUUAACUAUGAAGGAGACACCAUCAUCACAGGGAGUAAAGACAACACAUGUCGAGUUUGGAAAUGAUGAGAAAAUUUUGGUUUUUGCGAAGUGGUUGCAGCAGCGUUUCUAUUCACCUGCAUGUUUCACUGUUUAAGCAUGACUGUUCCCAGUACUAAUAUCUAUACCUUAGUAUAUAAGUUUAUUUUGAAUUAUGUAUUAUUUUAUAAUAAUUUCUUCCUGAAACUUCUUAGCUCUUUUGAGAUAUUAAAUGAAAUUGAUUAAAAUUCAUUAGAUAAGUAUUAGUAAAGAAUACAAUAACAUCGAGCUAAAUAUACUUCUUGACAGCCAUAUUCAGGUUAAUCGAUUAAAAAAUGCACAGGCUGAUUGAGUUUGACAAGGCUGUAAUACAAUAGUGUUUAAAUGAUGUUAUUCAUUCUGCACAUUUUAUGGCAUUGUUGUAAGCACGUUUAUAAUAGUGUAAUUAUAUGAAUUAUAUGUUUGCAAAAGUGCUAAAUCUAAUAUCUAAUAUCUAUAUAACGCUGCAAAAACCAGGGUUAACUUUUUUUCAUACGUUAUCUAUAUGCUUUAAUGUGCAUUUGUUGCAUUUUUUGUAAGUGCAAAAGUCAUCUCAGCUCGUGGUUAGAAAAUGUCAAAAACUAUGCUGGGUAUUUAACAUCUGGUAAUGUUCUAUUCUUGUAGUUUAAGUGUAACCCCUGUAAUCUUUUUCUUUAACCUCUAUAGACUCACAGUUAACUCAGUCAUGUCCUUCUGUAUGUGUAAUCAGUAAAAUAAAUAAUGUCACUCUUGCAGUAGCAGUAAGUUGCAUAAGUCCACCAUC
This 2069-nucleotide unclassified non-coding RNA is filed under the name Priapulus caudatus. RNAcentral's name for it is "dynein assembly factor with WDR repeat domains 1- like, transcript variant X3". The record is from RNAcentral. Lineage: Eukaryota; Metazoa; Priapulida; Priapulimorpha; Priapulimorphida; Priapulidae.